GACGAACGCUGGCGGCGUGCUUAACACAUGCAAGUCGAACGGUGAAGCGCCUUCCUUUUUGGUGGGUGUGGAUGAGUGGCGAACGGGUGAGUAACACGUGAGUAACCUGCCCCCUUCUUCUGGAUAACCGCAUGAAAGUGUGGCUAAUACGGGAUAUUCUGGGUCUGUCGCAUGAUGGGUCUGGGAAAGAUAUUGUUUCGGUGGGGGAUGGGCUCGCGGCCUAUCAGCUUGUUGGUGGGGUGAUGGCCUACCAAGGCGGUGACGGGUAGCCGGCCUGAGAGGGUGGACGGUCACACUGGGACUGAGACUCGGCCCAGACUCCUACGGGAGGCAGCAGUGGGGAAUAUGGCACAAUGGGCGCAAGCCUGAUGCAGCGACGCCGCGUGAGGGAUGGAGGCCUUCGGGUUGUGAACCUCUUUCGCCAGUGAAGCAGGCCUGCCUCGUUUGUGGGUGGGUUGACGGUAGCUGGAUAAGAAGCGCCGGCUAACUACGUG
Molecule: ribosomal RNA, 494 nt
Filed under: uncultured bacterium
Lineage: Bacteria
Description: partial 16S ribosomal RNA
Rfam family: Bacterial small subunit ribosomal RNA
Source: RNAcentral